UGGCGAACGGGUGAGUAACGCGUGAGGAACCUGCCUCAAAGAGGGGGACAACAGUUGGAAACGACUGCUAAUACCGCAUAAGCCCACGGUGCCGCAUGGCACAGAGGGAAAAGGAGCAAUCCGCUUUGAGAUGGCCUCGCGUCCGAUUAGCUAGUUGGUGAGGUAACGGCCCACCAAGGCAACGAUCGGUAGCCGGACUGAGAGGUUGAACGGCCACAUUGGGACUGAGACACGGCCCAGACUCCUACGGGGGCAUG
This 257-nucleotide ribosomal RNA is filed under the name uncultured bacterium. RNAcentral's name for it is "partial 16S ribosomal RNA". It matches the Rfam family "Bacterial small subunit ribosomal RNA", at positions 96 to 347 of the family's 1533-position model. The record is from RNAcentral.